Molecule: ribosomal RNA, 440 nt
Filed under: uncultured bacterium
Lineage: Bacteria
Description: partial 16S ribosomal RNA
Rfam family: Bacterial small subunit ribosomal RNA
Source: RNAcentral
CCUACGGGAGGCAGCAGUAGGGAAUAUUGCUCAAUGGGGGAAACCCUGAAGCAGCAACGCCGCGUGGAGGAUGAAGGUUUUCGGUAUGUAAAGCCCUUUCGUUAGAGAAGAAAAUGACGGUAUCUAACGAAUAAGCACCGGCUAACUCCGUGCCAGCAGCCGCGGUAAUACGGAGGGUGCAAGCGUUAUUCGGAAUUACUGGGCGUAAAGAGCGCGUAGGUGGGAUAGCAAGUCAGGAGUGAAAUCCUAGGGCUUAACCAGAGGACUGCAUUUGAAACUGUGAGUCUAGAGUGAGGGAGAGGUAGGUGGAAUUCUUGGUGUAGGGGUGAAAUGCGUAGAGAUCAAGAGGAAUACUCGUUGCGAAGGCGGCCUGCUGGAACGUAACUGACGCUGAGGCGCGAAAGCGUGGGGAGCAAACAGGAUUAGAUACCCCUGUAGUC